Molecule: ribosomal RNA, 485 nt
Filed under: uncultured bacterium
Lineage: Bacteria
Description: partial 16S ribosomal RNA
Rfam family: Bacterial small subunit ribosomal RNA
Source: RNAcentral
UUGAACGCUGGCGGCAUGCCUUACACAUGCAAGUCGAACGGCAGCACGGGUGCUUGCACCUGGUGGCGAGUGGCGAACGGGUGAGUAAUACAUCGGAGCAUGUCCUGUAGUGGGGGAUAGCCCGGCGAAAGCCGGAUUAAUACCGCAUGCGAUCUACGGAUGAAAGCGGGGGACCUUCGGGCCUCGCGCUAUAGGGUUGGCCGAUGGCUGAUUAGCUAGUUGGUGGGGUAAAGGCCUACCAAGGCGACGAUCAGUAGCUGGUCUGAGAGGACGACCAGCCACACUGGGACUGAGACACGGCCCAGACUCCUACGGGAGGCAGCAGUGGGGAAUUUUGGACAAUGGGCGAAAGCCUGAUCCAGCAAUGCCGCGUGUGUGAAGAAGGCCUUCGGGUUGUAAAGCACUUUUGUCCGGAAAGAAAUCCUUGGCCCUAAUACGGUCGGGGGAUGACGGUACCGGAAGAAUAAGCACCGGCUAACUACGUG